This 1366-nucleotide ribosomal RNA is filed under the name uncultured bacterium. Its description in RNAcentral is "bacterial SSU rRNA". It matches the Rfam family "Bacterial small subunit ribosomal RNA". The record is from RNAcentral.
GAUGAACGCUAGCGGCGUGCUUUAGGUAUGCAAGUCGAAUGUCGGCCUUCGGGCUAGACAUGGCAGACGGGUGAGUAACACGUAGGAAUCUACCCUUUGGUGGGGAAUAGUCCGUCGAAAGGCGGGGUAAUACCGCAUAACUCGUUUACGAGAAAGGACGUAACUGUCCGCCGAAGGAUGAGCCUGCGCUCUAUCAGCUUGUUGGUGAGGUAAUGGCUCACCAAGGCUAUGACGGAUAGCUGGUCUGAGAGGAUGGUCAGCCACAGGGACACUGCGAUACGGGUCUCACGUCUACGGACGGCAGCAACCGGGAAUCUUGCGCAAUGGGCGAAAGCCUGACGCAGCGACGCCGCGUGCGGGAUGAAGGCCUUCGGGUCGUAAACCGCUUUUAUUUAUUGGUCGACAAUAAGAGAAUAACCACCUGCAAACUACGUGCCAGAAGCCUCGGUGAUACGUAGGGUGGAAGCGUUAUCCGGAUUUAUUGGGCGUAAAGGGUUUCGUAGGCGGUUUGUUAAGUCCAAAUUCAAAGCCUGGGGCUCAACCCCAGAACGGGUUUGGAUACUAACAGACUAGAGGUCUUUUGGGGGUGCUGGAAUUUCUGGUGUAGGGGUGAAAUCCAUUGAUAUCAGAAGGAACGUCAAGGGCGAAGGCAGGCACCUGGGAAUGACCUGACGCUAAGGAACGAAAGCUAGGGGAGCAAAAGGGAUUAGAGACCCCUGUAGUCCUAGCCGUAAACGAUCCCUGCUAGCUGUUCUGUCGUUAGACGGAGUGGCGCAAGCUAACGCGUUAAGCAGGGCGCCUGGGGAGUACGACCGCAAGGUUAAAACUCAAAGGAAUUGACGGGGAUCUGCACAACCGGUGGAGCAUGUGGUUUAAUUCGACACAAAGCGUAGGACCUUACCUGGGCUUGACAUACUAGCGACCGCCAUCGAAAGGUGGCUUUCCUUCGGGACGCUAAUACAGCUGCUGCAUGGCUGCCGUCAGCUCGUGCCGUAGGGUGUUUCCUUAAGUGGAUAAACGAGCGCAACCCUUACUGUAUGUUAAAUAUUCAUACGGAACUGCCCGUGUCUAACGCGGGAGGAAGGAGAGGACGACGACUAGUCAGCAUGGUGCUUAUGUCCAGGGCUACACACAUCCUACAAUGGGUGCAACAACGGGUCGCCAAAGAGUAAUCUGGAGCUAAUCCCUUAAAUGCAUCCUCAGUUGGGAUUGUGGGCUGAAAUUCGCCCACAUGAACACGGAAUCGGUAGUAAUCGCGGGUCAGCAGACCGCGGUGAAUACGUUCCCAGAUCUUGUACACACCGCCCGUCAAACCAGCAAAGUCGGGAGUACCCGAAGUCCCGAAAUUUCGGGAUUAAGGUAAGCU